Molecule: long non-coding RNA, 3719 nt
Organism: Ctenopharyngodon idella (grass carp)
Lineage: Eukaryota; Metazoa; Chordata; Actinopteri; Cypriniformes; Xenocyprididae
Exons: 2
Source: RefSeq, a predicted model, not a curated record
UACUAAAUUAUGCAUUGGUCUUUAAUUGUUGAAUAAAAUGGACUUAUUGAUGCGAUUAAGGCAUUAUUAUAACAUAUUGAUGCACUAGUAAUGUUGUAUGAUGAUAAUUCCUCCUUGUAUGAGACACUGACUGACUCUCAGAUUCAUAGAGCACAUGUUUAAACGCAGUAUGAUCUUCAGGGGUAAAGAACAGUUUUCAGGCGUUGAGUUCCGGCCAGACUCAUAUCUUGGAAACAGAAGCUCCAGGCCUGAGGUAAGAUAUUGAGCUGCAGAGUCAGAACAACGCCCGAGAGUGGCAAUAACGCUAAUGUGAUAAAAGAAAGUGGUUUUCUGAAUAUAGGUGGGUUGGAAGCAAUAGCCAGAAAUAUCUAUUUUCAGACCUGGGCUAAAAUGAAAGAGUUAUGGAAAGCGAAACCUGUGCCAGACUUGUUCUUCUCAGAGAAACUUUAGUCUGACUCUGAGUUUCAUGCUCUGAAUGUAGGCUGAGGUUUUGAUCAGAUGUCUGUUAAUAGAUUAUAUGACGGCGUAUGAAUUAUGAAAAGCAGAAAUGGCAAAAAAUGUUUUGCGUUUGACACGUCUGUCAUUAAUCAAGUAAUGGCUUUGUUCCUGUUUGCAAAAAAUAAAAAAUGUAGCCAUUAAUAAAACAAAUGACUUCAGCUUUCAUUUUAUUACCCAUCGUUUUAUAUUAAAGUUUUUUUUUUUUUUUCUGUGGAAUUGGGUGGAAAAGAAGAGAGUUUUUCUAAGCCACGUGCAGGGCAGAUUGAUGUCAUUGUCUCGGCACACUGACCUUUGCUGUAGUACCCACGGCAGACAUCACAAACUCUCACAUCAAUUUAGCCCAAUUGGAUGUGGCAUGUCUUGGCUAACUCGAUUUGUGCAGAAAUGCACCUGUCUCUGCCUUCUCUCCCUAUAGAUUUGCUCUGGGGGAGGAGGGGGAGCUUCUCUCUCUCUCUCUCUCUCUCUCUCUCUCUCUCUCUCUCUCUCUCUCUCUCUCUCUCUCUCUCUCUCUCUCUCUCUCUCUCUCUCUCUCUCUCUGCAGAUGCAGCCUCUUUGCAGCAGGCCUGGUGUGCCUUCCAAGGUCUGGGCAGAAUGUCUCCAAGCACCAGAAGGAGAGGCCAUUAGCCGCACACUAAUCACAUUACUGCACGUUAAAGGGGGAAGUGAAGGCAAGCAGGGAGGAGGGAGAGGAAGGGAGAAAAGUUUAAGGUGUUAUUAAGCGUUCUGCAAACGUCUGCUCAGACACCAGCCGUUCCCAUGCCUCCCUUCAGCCUCUGUCCCUUUCCAUCAUCUCUUCAUCCUCCUCUCCACGAGCUGUGUCUCCUCGAGUUCCCUGGGAAAGAUGUAUUGAUAAUUUCCUGCAAAAAUAUGAUUCCAGUUUAUUCUACAGAGAAAAAUCCAAUAGCGCAGCCUCCAAUUGGAUUGGGUUUUUCAGUGGAGUGGAGAACAAUAGAGAGAGAGAAGAGACCUGGCCCCAGACAUUCUACAUGAGAUUAUUGUUAAACAGAGACCUGAUAGAAUUACAGUGGUACAAUAGAUGAUAAUUGCAUCACAACAUGAUUUCUCUUUGCCGUACAACAGCGCAUAUUCAUCUACCUUAUCCUUCAGUGAUGUGGCGUGAGGGCGGCGAGGCUGGGCCAGAAGGAAGGUGAAGACAGCGAGGCCAUGAGAUGGAGUUAUAGAUAGGCGGCUCGAGAGAAAGGAAGAAUAUAGCUCAACCAUACUAGUGCAUAGUGACGCACAACGACAGGGAGCUGUUAUUGUUGUAUAAUAACUAUAGAUUAUUCAGACUUCAAAAAAUCUAUUUAAUGUCAAUAGACAAUAUACUGUACAACAGCACACAUGAUUGAAUGAGGUCUGAAUCAGGGCUUUUAGAUUGUUGACAUGCGAUUUUCAAUGGUUGAUUUGUUCAGUUAUUAUAUUUGGUAACCUUUAGUUCUGAAUAUGAGGUUUCAUAGUUAUUCAGAAUAAUCCAAUACUGAUUUGUUGUUGUUGUUGUUGUUGCUUUACUUUGUUUACUGUACGAUACAUUAUAUUUAAACAGAACUGAACAGUUGGAUAUAUGUUAAAUCCAACUUUAUUUGCAUGCAUACAGUAUAUGUAAAGGGAUAUAUAGGGACUAUAGAGCAAAUCUCAACUGCUUGAUUACUUGUAUGGUCACCAGUGUUGGCGGUAACACAUCACAAGUAUGUAAUCAGAUUACUUUUUUCAAGUAACUAGUAAAUGAACACAUUACUUUUGAAUUUACAACAUAAUGUCUGAGUUACUUUUCCAAAUAAGUAAUGGAAGUUACUUUGUUUUCCCAUGUAUUGACAGACAGCUCGUGUUGAGAGAAUCGUCGUGUGUGAACAUGAUGGGUAUUGUAGUUCUAGACUAAAUGUGAGCAUUGACUCACUUGCAAAAAAACAGAUUCAAUAUUCCUCAAAAUGAAUAAAAACAGUCAAAUGCAAACUCAGAAUAUUAUGCAAACCUGCAAUGAUUAAAUAUGUUAAAUUACACAAAUAUACUUUAUGUAUUUAAUCUCACUUUAUUAGCACUUUAUUAACACUCUGUCUUUUGACCUUCUGUGACCUUCCAUUUCAACCAUACUAAAGAGCAAAAAUGACUUAGAUAACAUUACAUUUGUGUUUUUGUUGCUGAAGUAAGAGUGUUAAACGUUCUUUUUCUGCGAUCAAGAAUAGCAGCACAGCUGAAAGGCUUGUUUGUUUGAGCUGCGCCCUCUACUGUACAGGAGUGAAUUUGGAGGCUUAUUCAUUUCACUGUUGGUGUGAACGGGCCUUUACAUUUACCAACAAUAGAACUUUAGGGUUUUUUCAUAUUAAAAAACAAACAAACAAGCUCAGCCCAGCUGAGAAAAUGUAACGCAAAAGUAACGUAACAUUACUUUACAUAAAAAGUAACUAAGUAAUGCAUAUAGUUACUUUUUUAGAGAGUAACAAUAGAAAGUAACUUUCCCCAACACUGAGAGCCGUCCACAUGGAGACGUGUUUAGCCGUAUACGCAAACUUUUUGAAUCUUAUCGGCGUUUCGUCCAGACGAUCUGGCAUUUCGGGAGCCUGAAACUGCUAUUUUUUUAAAUCGGAUCCCAGAGUGGAUGAAUCUAAAAACGACAACAUUGCGUUUUCAUGUGUACAGCCAAUCCGUAUAUUUUGUGAAAUGAUGUCAUCACCCCACAUGUCGACCCUAGUCAGACACGCUACCUCACGGAAAAACAACAACAACAACAACAACAGCGGACUACAUGCUUGUGUUUGUGCCGCAGAAGAUACUGAGCCUAUUAGCUUUACUAAAAUAAAGCUUUAUUACUAAAGUUUGUAUACAGUGCGAAGAUUUAUGAUGCUCUUCUUCUCCAUUUUUAGUGUAUCUCUGUGGCAGAAUUACAGCGCCACAUGCUGGUCUGGCAUGUAUACUACAUCGUUUUUGAGGCGGUUUCAGUGGUUUUGUGUGUACGCAGAUAUUUCUUGAGAUGACGCCGUGUUUACGUUUUUUUUUUAGGUUUUUUUUUUAGACCAAUUGAAAAAAAAGAUCGGAUAGGGAAAGCUCUGGCUUCAUGUGGAUGCGGCCUUGAUUGUAAACUAUAUUUUUGUUAAAUGCGACUAUCAGCCAUGAAGAUAUUUUAUAAAGAUAAGUUAUAAACAUUAACAUCAUGUUUUUCUGUAAACUGUUUUAAAACCAUGUGUAUUGUGAAAAGUGCUAUACAAAUAAAUCUGACUUGAUUACUU